RNAcentral lists this long non-coding RNA (561 nucleotides) under Homo sapiens (human). RNAcentral's name for it is "novel transcript". Lineage: Eukaryota; Metazoa; Chordata; Mammalia; Primates; Hominidae. The record is from RNAcentral.
AGACAUCUGGGCUGCUAGCUGCAUGAAGGAGCUACCCGCUGUGGGUCUCCUCUUUGCUGACAGCUGGACACUUGACAGAAUGACCUGCCUGAACUCGGGACCUGCAGAAUGAUGGGACUGAAGAAGCUGUAACACAAACAGGGCUAAAACACGCACUCUCCUCCCCCUGCUCCCCACCGCCCCACCCACUUGCCACAUUGGAGGUGAUGAGAAGGAGAGAAGAGCUGUGGCCUUUCAGGGAGCAUAGUCCCAGGGGCUCCCUGAGCCAGGGCUGUGAAACCCUCUUCCGGGCACUGCAGUUCCUGGCAUCUCCAAACUUCUGAGUGCCACCGCAUUCCCCGCGUCCGGAUGCAGGUCAAUGCACAGAAAGAAAUCUCUCUCCUGACUUUAGUACAAUGGCACGAUUGGUGGCCACAGUCCAAGGAUGGUUGCUGGGGCACCAAGAGAUUUCUGACAAAGGGCAUUAAAACUGAGAAAGUUUGGGAACCUCUGAAUGCUGUAGAAUAAUGGCCUCCAGCUCCACCCAAGUUGCUGCAAGAGACUUUAUUUCAUUUUUUUUAA